UACCAGCACCUCGAGUGGUCAGGACGUUUAUUGGGCCUAAAGCAUCCGUAGCCGGCUCUGCAAGUCUUCGGUUAAAUCCACCUGCUCAACAGAUGGGCUGCUGGAGAUACUACAGAGCUAGGGAGUGGGAGAGGCAGACGGUAUUCAGUGGGUAGGGGUAAAAUCCUCUGAUCCAUUGAGGACCACCAGUGGCGAAGGCGGUCUGCCAGAACACGUUCGACGGUGAGGGAUGAAAGCUGGGGGAGCAAAC
RNAcentral lists this ribosomal RNA (250 nucleotides) under uncultured bacterium. Its description in RNAcentral is "partial 16S ribosomal RNA". It matches the Rfam family "Archaeal small subunit ribosomal RNA", at positions 474 to 724 of the family's 1478-position model. The record is from RNAcentral.